UAUGUGAUCGUCUCUCGCAUAUCAAUAAGCGGAGGAAAAGAAACUAACAAGGAUUCCCCUAGUAACGGCGAGUGAAGCGGGAAGAGCUCAAAUUUGAAAUCUUAAAGGGUUUCCCUUUACGAAUUGUAGUUUAAAGAAGUGUUUUCUGUUGAGGUUUUGGUAAAAGUUCUUUGGAAUAGGACAUCAUAGAGGGUGAGAAUCCCGUAUUUGACCUUUACUUUCAACUUUGUGAUACACUUUCAAAGAGUCGGAUUGUUUGGGAAUGCAGUCCAAAAUGGGUGGUAAAUUUCAUCUAAAGCUAAAUAUUGGCGAGAGACCGAUAGCGAACAAGUACCGUGAGGGAAAGAUGAAAAGAACUUUGAAAGAGAGAGUUAAACAGUACGUGAAAUUGUCAAAAGGGAAGCGUUUGACACCAGUGUUGUUUUUCUGAAAAUCAAUUAAAGAACUGUUUAUGCUAAGUUGUUUAGACUUUAUCAGCUAUCUGUUUAGUUUUGAGCUUUUCUUUAAUGCACUUUUCAGUUAACAAGUCAACAUCAAUUUCUUUUGCUGUAAAAAAGCUUGAGGAAGGUGGCUUGAGAUUCGUCUUAAGUGUUUAUAGCCUCUUGCCUAUGCAGUCGGAGAGAUUGAGGUCUGCAGCGUAGAUCCUUCGGGGCUAAAUGCAUUUGUGCUAAGUUAUAGCAUUUUAUAGACAACUUGUUGACUAUGAUUUGUCUUGUAGCUUACUCGCUUAUGUUAUUUUACCUACGCUUAGGAUGUUGAGCGCAUGUCUCUCUCU
This 775-nucleotide ribosomal RNA is filed under the name uncultured Neocallimastigales. RNAcentral's name for it is "partial large subunit ribosomal RNA". It matches the Rfam family "Eukaryotic large subunit ribosomal RNA", at positions 24 to 616 of the family's 3401-position model. The record is from RNAcentral. Lineage: Eukaryota; Fungi; Neocallimastigomycota; Neocallimastigomycetes; Neocallimastigales.